ACAAACUUGGUCAUUUAGAGGAAGUAAAAGUCGUAACAAGGUUUCCGUAGGUGAACCUGCGGAAGGAUCAUUAUUGAAUAAACCUGGUGGACUGUCGCUGGCUCCUCGGAGCAUGUGCACGUCUGCCAUCUUUAUCCAUCCACCUGUGCACCAUAUGUAGUCCUUGAAGGUCAUUGAAUGUGUAGUGGCUCGCAGCAGCCGCGAAAGUGCCUUGUCCCUCACGGGUCUAUGUCUUUUACAUACACCACUUGGCAUGUCAAUGAAUGUGAUUGUUGGGUCAGUGUACCUAUACAAAUGUAAUACAACUUUCAGCAACGGAUCUCUUGGCUCUCGCAUCGAUGAAGAACGCAGC
This 352-nucleotide unclassified non-coding RNA is filed under the name uncultured fungus. RNAcentral describes it as "partial contains small subunit ribosomal RNA, internal transcribed spacer 1, and 5.8S ribosomal RNA". The stretch from base 1 to 73 matches the Rfam family "Eukaryotic small subunit ribosomal RNA", at positions 1759 to 1831 of the family's 1831-position model. The record is from RNAcentral. Lineage: Eukaryota; Fungi.